RNAcentral lists this ribosomal RNA (748 nucleotides) under uncultured bacterium. Its description in RNAcentral is "bacterial SSU rRNA". It matches the Rfam family "Bacterial small subunit ribosomal RNA", at positions 10 to 753 of the family's 1533-position model. The record is from RNAcentral.
AGUUUGAUCCUGGCUCAGAUUGAACGCUGGCGGCAUGCCUUACACAUGCAAGUCGAACGGUAACGGGUCCUUCGGGAUGCCGACGAGUGGCGAACGGGUGAGUAAUAUAUCGGAACGUGCCCAGUAGUGGGGGAUAACUGCUCGAAAGAGCAGCUAAUACCGCAUACGACCUGAGGGUGAAAGGGGGGGAUCGCAAGACCUCUCGCUAUUGGAGCGGCCGAUAUCAGAUUAGCUAGUUGGUGGGGUAAAGGCCUACCAAGGCAACGAUCUGUAGUUGGUCUGAGAGGACGACCAGCCACACUGGGACUGAGACACGGCCCAGACUCCUACGGGAGGCAGCAGUGGGGAAUUUUGGACAAUGGGCGCAGGCCUGAUCCAGCAAUGCCGCGUGCAGGAAGAAGGCCUUCGGGUUGUAAACUGCUUUUGUCAGGGAAGAAAUCUUCUGGGCUAAUACCCCGGGAGGAUGACGGUACCUGAAGAAUAAGCACCGGCUAACUACGUGCCAGCAGCCGCGGUAAUACGUAGGGUGCGAGCGUUAAUCGGAAUUACUGGGCGUAAAGCGUGCGCAGGCGGCUUUGCAAGACAGAUGUGAAAUCCCCGGGCUCAACCUGGGAACUGCAUUUGUGACUGCAAGGCUAGAGUACGGCAGAGGGGGAUGGAAUUCCGCGUGUAGCAGUGAAAUGCGUAGAUAUGCGGAGGAACACCAAUGGCGAAGGCAAUCCCCUGGGCCUGUACUGACGCUCAUGCA